Molecule: ribosomal RNA, 1500 nt
Filed under: uncultured bacterium
Lineage: Bacteria
Description: bacterial SSU rRNA
Rfam family: Bacterial small subunit ribosomal RNA
Source: RNAcentral
AGAGUUUGAUCCUGGCUCAGAUUGAACGCUAGCGGGAUGCUUUACACAUGCAAGUCGAACGGCAGCACGAGAGAGCUUGCUCUCUUGGUGGCGAGUGGCGGACGGGUGAGUAAUAUAUCGGAACGUGCCCAGUAGCGGGGGAUAACUACUCGAAAGAGUGGCUAAUACCGCAUACGCCCUACGGGGGAAAGGGGGGGAUUCUUCGGAACCUCUCACUAUUGGAGCGGCCGAUAUCGGAUUAGCUAGUUGGUGGGGUAAAGGCUCACCAAGGCAACGAUCCGUAGCUGGUUUGAGAGGACGACCAGCCACACUGGGACUGAGACACGGCCCAGACUCCUACGGGAGGCAGCAGUGGGGAAUUUUGGACAAUGGGGGAAACCCUGAUCCAGCCAUCCCGCGUGUAUGAUGAAGGCCUUCGGGUUGUAAAGUACUUUUGGCAGAGAAGAAAAGGUACCUCCUAAUACGAGGUACUGCUGACGGUAUCUGCAGAAUAAGCACCGGCUAACUACGUGCCAGCAGCCGCGGUAAUACGUAGGGUGCAAGCGUUAAUCGGAAUUACUGGGCGUAAAGCGUGUGUAGGCGGUUCGGAAAGAAAGAUGUGAAAUCCCAGGGCUCAACCUUGGAACUGCAUUUUUAACUGCCGAGCUAGAGUAUGUCAGAGGGGGGUAGAAUUCCACGUGUAGCAGUGAAAUGCGUAGAUAUGUGGAGGAAUACCGAUGGCGAAGGCAGCCCCCUGGGAUAAUACUGACGCUCAGACACGAAAGCGUGGGGAGCAAACAGGAUUAGAUACCCUGGUAGUCCACGCCCUAAACGAUGUCAACUAGCUGUUGGGGCCGUUAGGCCUUAGUAGCGCAGCUAACGCGUGAAGUUGACCGCCUGGGGAGUACGGUCGCAAGAUUAAAACUCAAAGGAAUUGACGGGGACCCGCACAAGCGGUGGAUGAUGUGGAUUAAUUCGAUGCAACGCGAAAAACCUUACCUACCCUUGACAUGUCUGGAAUCCCGAAGAGAUUUGGGAGUGCUCGCAAGAGAACCGGAACACAGGUGCUGCAUGGCUGUCGUCAGCUCGUGUCGUGAGAUGUUGGGUUAAGUCCCGCAACGAGCGCAACCCUUGUCAUUAGUUGCUACGCAAGAGCACUCUAAUGAGACUGCCGGUGACAAACCGGAGGAAGGUGGGGAUGACGUCAAGUCCUCAUGGCCCUUAUGGGUAGGGCUUCACACGUCAUACAAUGGUCGGGACAGAGGGUCGCCAACCCGCGAGGGGGAGCCAAUCUCAGAAACCCGAUCGUAGUCCGGAUCGCAGUCUGCAACUCGACUGCGUGAAGUCGGAAUCGCUAGUAAUCGCGGAUCAGAAUGUCGCGGUGAAUACGUUCCCGGGUCUUGUACACACCGCCCGUCACACCAUGGGAGUGGGUUUCACCAGAAGUAGGUAGCCUAACCGCAAGGAGGGCGCUUACCACGGUGGGAUUCAUGACUGGGGUGAAGUCGUAACAAGGUAGCC